GUAAGGAAUAUUGGUCAAUGGGCGGAAGCCUGAACCAGCCAUGCCGCGUGCAGGACGACGGCCCUACGGGUUGUAAACUGCUUUUGCCCGGGAAUAACCCCCCGCUCUUGAGCGGGGCUGAACGUACCGGGAGAAUAAGGAUAGGCUAACUCCGUGCCAGCAGCCGCGGUAAUACGGAGGAUCCGAGCGUUAUCCGGAUUUAUUGGGUUUAAAGGGUGCGUAGGCGGCCUGUUAAGUCAGGGGUGAAAUACGGCAGCUCAACUGUCGCAGUGCCCUUGAUACUGACGGGCUUGAAUACCGGUGAAGGCGGCGGAAUGAGACAAGUAGCGGUGAAAUGCAUAGAUAUGUCUCAGAACCCCGAUUGCGAAGGCAGCUGCCUAACCGGCGAUUGACGCUGAUGCACGAAAGCGUGGGGAUCGAACAGGAUUAGAUACCCUUGGAGUCC
RNAcentral lists this ribosomal RNA (445 nucleotides) under uncultured bacterium. RNAcentral's name for it is "partial 16S ribosomal RNA". It matches the Rfam family "Bacterial small subunit ribosomal RNA", at positions 354 to 796 of the family's 1533-position model. The record is from RNAcentral.